AUUGAACGCUGGCGGCAUGCUUUACACAUGCAAGUCGAACGGUAACAGGCCGCAAGGUGCUGACGAGUGGCGAACGGGUGAGUAAUGCCUCGGAACGUGCCCAGUCGUGGGGGAUAACUACUCGAAAGAGUAGCUAAUACCGCAUACGAUCUAUGGAUGAAAGCGGGGGACCGUAAGGCCUCGGGCGAUUGGAGCGGCCGAUGUCAGAUUAGGUAGUUGGUGGGGUAAAGGCUCACCAAGCCAACGAUCUGUAGCGGGUCUGAGAGGACGACCAGCCACACUGGGACUGAGACACGGCCCAGACUCCUACGGGAGGCAGCAGUGGGGAAUUUUGGACAAUGGGCGCAAGCCUGAUCCAGCAAUGCCGCGUGCAGGAAGAAGGCCUUCGGGUUGUAAACUGCUUUUGUACGGAACGAAACGGCUCUGGUUAAUACCCGGGGCUAAUGACGGUACCGUAAGAAUAAGCACCGGCUAACUACGU
This 481-nucleotide ribosomal RNA is filed under the name uncultured bacterium. Its description in RNAcentral is "partial 16S ribosomal RNA". It matches the Rfam family "Bacterial small subunit ribosomal RNA", at positions 30 to 506 of the family's 1533-position model. The record is from RNAcentral.